This is a long non-coding RNA of Xenopus laevis (African clawed frog), 1916 nucleotides long. RefSeq lists it as uncharacterized. NCBI's taxonomy places the organism in Eukaryota, Metazoa, Chordata, Amphibia, Anura, Pipidae. The record is from RefSeq and is a predicted model, not a curated record. The transcript has 2 exons.
UUCUGUUCCCAGUGCAUAUAGAUAAAGCUGAAUAUGCCAAAAUAUGCCUGUUGGUGAAGAGCUGCUUUCUAUGAAUAACUUGCCCAGCAUUCUGGUGCAUCAGAAUUAAAGACAUUUGAACAGGUUUUAUGUAUAGAUGAAUGCAGUUUUUACACUUCUGCCCCAAUGGAUUCAUCAUGACAUUCCCUUGCCAGCCAGUCCGUUGGAUGUAGAACUCAAUGACAGCGUGUGUGGAUUUCCAGUGGUUACGACAGUUAGGACAGUCAUACCUGCAAAUAGAAUUAAAAGAAUGUGUUCUUCAGUUGUUCUAGUAUGAACUUUGUAGCACAUACCUGAGUUAGAAAUAUAUCUCCACCUUGAUAUAGCAUUUAAAAGAACACUGAGAUGAGAGGGGCAAAACACAAAGACUUAGGAAGAGAAUGAAAACACACAAGAAGGGGCAUUACCUUCACAGGCACAGUUUGUGGAUGCAAUUUUUCAUAUUUUUUCACACCAUGCAGCAUUUAUUUUUUACAGAAUUCUAGUGUAAUUGACUAAACAAGUCUCUCAAAUGAUCUUUGCUGCUGUGAUGUCUCGUAUCUCAAAACUCAGAGCAAACCCCAAUGUCCUGGUCUCAGCUCACUCUUCUGCCUAUAGCAGCCAGCCUUUGGCUUCAGAAGGGGCAUUGGAGUAGGUAUAGGAGUAGGCAUAGGAGUGAACCAGGGCCUUAACUGUCUGCUUGUAUAGAGAAGUGGUAACACAGAGAGCACAGGUCCCGAGUUCAACUCCAGGCAGGUUAUUACAGCUGCACAGCUGCAAUAACAAUAGAAUUUGUGCCAAGAAUGCACUCACAGUUAUUCAAAGAAUUAGACCUAGCUGAAGAAAUCUUUCUAAAUACUCACUCUCCAAAGGCAUCACGUUGAGUGAAUGAUUUCCAUCUCUCCUGAUUUGGUUUCUCAUUGCAGAUGUUUAUAGUCCACUUAUCUGAAACGAUUUCUGAAACGAUUUCAGAAAAUGUCUGUUUCCAUUUCUGAUAGUCACCCAUUGUGUCUCUGAACAGCUAUUUGUGCUCUAGCGUGUUAUAUAUCCACAGUGUUUCCUGAUGGUUUAAAAGUGUGGGUGUGGCUAAAAGCUGCAUAGAAGCAGGUUUAUAAGCAGGCUUGGCUCAAUUGUUCAUGUAUUAAUUUAACCCUCAGGUUGCUGACUCUCAAUUGAGCCAAAAAAAUCAAAAAUGAAUGUAAAUUGUGAACAUCCUCAGAGAAGCACCCUGUGCAUUCCAUAAUGGGACAGAUCCCAAACAACAGAAACCUGAGCUCUCCUAUGCAGUCCCCAAAGUUGGCCCUGAACCACCCCAACAGCUUCCCACUGAGUAGACUCAACAGAGACCCCCAAAAGAGAUGUCAGGUCUUGCAACUGUAGCAAUGUAAAGCAGUUUUCCUAUAGCUUUUCUAUAUUGACAGUUGUUUUGUAGUAAAUGGCUUUGCUUUCUGCACCUGUAUUUAUCUAUGAGCCUGGUUUGGAUAAACUAUAGUGUCAGUUCAUCUUGAGGCCUUGCCUCCAGAGCAUUAAUCAAUGCACUGUAUGAUUCAGGUAAACUGUACAGAAGUAUGAUUGUCUUUUAUAUCCACUCCAAUUGUCUGGAGCAGUAGAAUUCUUAAUGAAUCAGAUGAUGACUUUAACAUACAGUAGCUGGUCAGAUUGAAUAUAUUGGAAUACAUGGACAAAUAAUCCCUGUUUAAUUUAAAGGGGAGGACAUUUUUAGUAUCUUAAUGCAUUUAAAUGUCUUAGGGGCAUAUUUGUCAAGGAUCGAAUUUUCGAAGUAAAAAAACUUUGAAAUUCGACCAUUGAAUUUGAGUACUUCCAGUGAAAAUGACCAUAUUCGAUCAAAGUACAAUCAAAGUAAAAUCGUGAGAUUGAACGAUUUAACCCUUCGAAUC